RNAcentral lists this ribosomal RNA (407 nucleotides) under uncultured bacterium. RNAcentral describes it as "partial 16S ribosomal RNA". It matches the Rfam family "Bacterial small subunit ribosomal RNA", at positions 30 to 526 of the family's 1533-position model. The record is from RNAcentral.
AUUGAACGCUGGCGGCAGGCCUAACACAUGCAAGUCGAACGGCGCGCCGGACGGGUGAGUAAUGCCUAGGAAUCGGACUGGUAGUGGGGGAUAACGUCCGGAAACGGGCGCUGAUACUGCAUACUCUCAGAUGAGCCUAGGUCGGAUUAGCUAGUUGGUGGGGUAAAGGCCUACCAAGGCGUCGAUCCGUAACUGGUCUGAGAGGAUGAUCAGCCACACUGGAACUGAGACACGGUCCAGACUCCUACGGGAGGCAGCAGUGGGGAAUAUUGGACAAUGGGCGAAAGCCUGAUGCAGCCAUGCCGCGUGUGUGAAGAAGGUCUUCGGGUUGUAAAGCACUUUAAGUUGGGAGGCGUUACCAACAGAAGAAGCACCGGCUAACUUCGUGCCAGCAGCCGCGGUAAUUC